RNAcentral lists this transfer RNA (76 nucleotides) under Pseudomonas aeruginosa. Its description in RNAcentral is "tRNA-Ala(tgc)". It matches the Rfam family "tRNA". Rfam says of the family: Transfer RNA (tRNA) molecules are approximately 80 nucleotides in length. Their secondary structure includes four short double-helical elements and three loops (D, anti-codon, and T loops). Further hydrogen bonds mediate the characteristic L-shaped molecular structure. tRNAs have two regions of fundamental functional importance: the anti-codon, which is responsible for specific mRNA codon recognition, and the 3' end, to which the tRNAs corresponding amino acid is attached (by aminoacyl-tRNA synthetases). tRNAs cope with the degeneracy of the genetic code in two manners: having more than one tRNA (with a specific anti-codon) for a particular amino acid; and 'wobble' base-pairing, i.e. permitting non-standard base-pairing at the 3rd anti-codon position. The record is from RNAcentral. Lineage: Bacteria; Pseudomonadati; Pseudomonadota; Gammaproteobacteria; Pseudomonadales; Pseudomonadaceae. RNAcentral also lists the same sequence under 1 other name.
GGGGCCAUAGCUCAGCUGGGAGAGCGCCUGCUUUGCAGGCAGGAGGUCAGGAGUUCGAUCCUCCUUGGCUCCACCA